AUUGAACGCUGGCGGCAGGCCUAACACAUGCAAGUCGAGCGGAUGAAGGGAGCUUGCUCCUGGAUUCAGCGGCGGACGGGUGUGUAAUUCCUAUGAAUCUGCCUGGUAGUGUGGGAUAACGUCCGGAAACGGGCGCUAAUACCUCAUACGUCCUGAGGUAGAAAGUGGGGGAUCUUCGGACCUCACGCUAUCAUAUGAGCCUAGGUCGGAUUAGCUAGUUGGUGGGGUAAAGGCCUACCAAGGCGACGAUCCGUAACUGGUCUGAGAGGAUGAUCAGUCACACUGGAACUGAGACACGGUCCAGAGUCCUACGGGAGGCAGCAGUGGGGAAUAUUGGACAAUGGGCGAAAGCAUGAUCCAGCAAUGCCGAGUGUGUGAAGAAGGUCUUCGGAUUGUAAAGCACUUUAAGUUGGGAGGAAGGGAAGUAAGUUAAUACCUUGCUGUUUUGACGUUACCAACAGAAUAAGCACCGGCUAACUUCGUG
This 484-nucleotide ribosomal RNA is filed under the name uncultured bacterium. RNAcentral's name for it is "partial 16S ribosomal RNA". It matches the Rfam family "Bacterial small subunit ribosomal RNA", at positions 30 to 507 of the family's 1533-position model. The record is from RNAcentral.